GCCGAGGUGGUGGAAUGUUAGACACGCUAGCUUCAGGUGCUAGUGGGCGUAAGCCCGUGAAAGUUCAAAUCUUUUUCUCGGUA
This 83-nucleotide transfer RNA is filed under the name Methylococcaceae bacterium. RNAcentral describes it as "tRNA-Leu". It matches the Rfam family "tRNA". From Rfam's summary of the family: Transfer RNA (tRNA) molecules are approximately 80 nucleotides in length. Their secondary structure includes four short double-helical elements and three loops (D, anti-codon, and T loops). Lineage: Bacteria; Pseudomonadati; Pseudomonadota; Gammaproteobacteria; Methylococcales; Methylococcaceae. The record is from RNAcentral.